GUUGCAGGCACACUUGGUAUUAGUAUGGAAGAAACUG
RNAcentral lists this small RNA (37 nucleotides) under Romboutsia ilealis. RNAcentral describes it as "CRISPR spacer". The record is from RNAcentral. Lineage: Bacteria; Bacillati; Bacillota; Clostridia; Peptostreptococcales; Peptostreptococcaceae.